AGCCCUGUAACUCAGUCGGAGAGUGCCUCUCUUACAAAGAGGAAGUCGCAGGUACCCUUCGGGAAGCCGCUCCGCGUCUACAAUCCCUGCUAGGGCUACCA
RNAcentral lists this transfer RNA (101 nucleotides) under Aulosira sp. FACHB-113. RNAcentral's name for it is "tRNA-Val". It matches the Rfam family "tRNA". From Rfam's summary of the family: Transfer RNA (tRNA) molecules are approximately 80 nucleotides in length. Lineage: Bacteria; Bacillati; Cyanobacteriota; Cyanophyceae; Nostocales; Fortieaceae. The record is from RNAcentral.